GAUGAACGCUGGCGGCGUGCUUAACACAUGCGAGUCGAACGAUGAAGCCCAGCUUGCUGGGUGGAUUAGUGGCGAACGGGUGAGUAACACGUGAGUAACCUGCCCUUAACUCUGGGAUAAGCCUGGGAAACUGGGUCUAAUACCGGAUAGGAGCGUCCACCGCAUGGUGGGUGUUGGAAAGAUUUAUCGGUUUUGGAUGGACUCGCGGCCUAUCAGCUUGUUGGUGAGGUAAUGGCUCACCAAGGCGACGACGGGUAGCCGGCCUGAGAGGGUGACCGGCCACACUGGGACUGGGACACGGCCCAGACUCCUACGGGAGGCAGCAGUGGGGAAUAUUGCACAAUGGGCGCAAGCCUGAUGCAGCGACGCCGCGUGAGGGAUGACGGCCUUCGGGUUGUAAACCUCUUUCAGUAGGGAAGAAGCGAAAGUGACGGUACCUGCAGAAGAAGCACCGGCUAACUACGUG
Molecule: ribosomal RNA, 466 nt
Filed under: uncultured bacterium
Lineage: Bacteria
Description: partial 16S ribosomal RNA
Rfam family: Bacterial small subunit ribosomal RNA
Source: RNAcentral